UUGGAGGGCAAGUCUGGUGCCAGCAGCCGCGGUAAUUCCAGCUCCAAUAGCGUAUAUUAAAGUUGUUGCAGUUAAAAAGCUCGUAGUUGAAUUUCGGAAUCCAUCCAUCGGUCGGGCCUCACGGUCCGCACUGGUGUGAUGGAUUUCUACCUUCUGAAUAACCAGCAUGUCAUUAAUUUGGUGCGUUGGGGAAGCAGGACUGUUACCUUGAAAAAAUUAGAGUGCUUAAAGCAGGCUAGUGCCUGAAUACAUUAGCAUGGAAUAAUGAAACAGGACGGCAUGGUUCUAUUUUGUUGGUUUCUAGGAUCACCGUAAUGAUUAAUAGGGAUAGUUGGGGGCAUUAGUGUUCAAUUGUCAGAGGUGAAAUUCUUGGAUUUAUUGAAGACUAACUUCUGCGAAAGCAUUUGCCAAGGAUGUUUUCAUUAAUCAAGAACGAAAGUUAGGGGAUCGAAGACGAUCAGAUACCGUCGUAGUCUUAACCAUAAACUAUGCCGACUAGGGAUCGGACGAUGUUAAUUUUUUAAUGACUCGUUCGGCGCCUUACGGGAAACCAAAGUGUUUGGGUUC
This 567-nucleotide ribosomal RNA is filed under the name uncultured Glomeromycotina. RNAcentral describes it as "SSU rRNA". It matches the Rfam family "Eukaryotic small subunit ribosomal RNA", at positions 548 to 1114 of the family's 1831-position model. Lineage: Eukaryota; Fungi; Glomeromycota. The record is from RNAcentral.